This 488-nucleotide ribosomal RNA is filed under the name uncultured bacterium. RNAcentral describes it as "bacterial SSU rRNA". It matches the Rfam family "Bacterial small subunit ribosomal RNA", at positions 8 to 507 of the family's 1533-position model. The record is from RNAcentral.
AGAGUUUGAUCCUGGCUCAGGAUGAACGCUGGCGGCGUGCCUAAUACAUGCAAGUCGAGCGAACCACUUCGGGUGGUGAGCGGCGAACGGGUGAGUAACACGUAGGUGAUCUGCCCAUCAGACGGGGACAACGAUUGGAAACGAUCGCUAAUACCGGAUAGGACGAAAGUUUAAAGGUGCUUCUGGCACCGCUGAUGGAUGAGCCUGCGGCGCAUUAGCUAGUUGGUAGGGUAAAGGCCUACCAAGGCGACGAUGCGUAGCCGACCUGAGAGGGUGAACGGCCACACUGGGACUGAGACACGGCCCAGACUCCUACGGGAGGCAGCAGUAGGGAAUCUUCGGCAAUGGGCGAAAGCCUGACCGAGCAACGCCGCGUGAAUGAUGAAGGCCUUCGGGUUGUAAAAUUCUGUUAUAAGGGAAGAACGACUUUAGUAGGAAAUGGCUAGAGUGUGACGGUACCUUAUGAGAAAGCCACGGCUAACUACGUG